AUGGUAGGAUAGAGGCCUACCAUGGUGGUAACGGGUAACGGGGUGUUAGGGCACGACACCGGAGAGGGAGCCUGAGAAACGGCUACCACAUCCAAGGAAGGCAGCAGGCGCGCAAAUUACCCAAUCCCGACACGGGGAGGUAGUGACAAUAAAUAACAAUACAGGGUUCUUUGAAUCUUGUAAUUGGAAUGAGUACAAUUUAAAUCUCUUAACAAGGAACAAUUGGAGGGCAAGUCUGGUGCCAGCAGCCGCGGUAAUUCCAGCUCCAAUAGCGUAUAUNAAAGUUGUUGCAGUUAAAAAGCUCGUAGUUGAAUUUCGGGAUCAAUACGUCGGUCGUGCUUUCGGGUACGUACUGGCGUCAUUGGUUUCUCCUUUCUGACGAACCAUGAUGUCAUUAAUUUGGUGUUAUGGGGAGUUAGGACUGUUACUUUGAAAAAAUUAGAGUGUUUAAAGCAGGCAUUAGCUUGAAUACAUUAGCAUGGAAUAAUGAAAUAGGACGUUCGAUCCUAUUUUGUUGGUUUCUAGGAUCAACGUAAUGAUUAAUAGGGAUAGUUGGGGGCAUUAGUAUUCAAUUGUCAGAGGUGAAAUUCUUGGAUUUAUUGAAGACUAACUACUGCGAAAGCAUUUGCCAAGGAUGUUUUCAUUAAUCAAGAACGAAAGUUAGGGGAUCGAAGACGAUCAGAUACCGUCGUAGUCUUAACCAUAAACUAUGCCGACUAGGGAUCGGAUGAUGUUAAUUUUUUAAUGACUCAUUCGGCGCCUUACGGGAAACCAAAGUGUUUGGG
Molecule: ribosomal RNA, 785 nt
Filed under: uncultured Glomus
Lineage: Eukaryota; Fungi; Glomeromycota; Glomeromycetes; Glomerales; Glomeraceae
Description: SSU rRNA
Rfam family: Eukaryotic small subunit ribosomal RNA
Source: RNAcentral